GUAGGCGGUCGUAUAAGCGAAUAGUGAAAUCUGGCGGCUCAACCAUCAACCCAUUGUUCGAACUGUACGACUCGAGAAUGGUAGAGGUAGCUGGAAUUUCUUGUGUAGGAGUGAAAUCCGUAGAUAUAAGAAGGAACACCAAUGGCGUAGGCAGGCUACUGGACCAUUUCUGACGCUGAGGCACGAAAGCGUGGGGAGCGAACCGGAUUAGAUACCCGGGUAGUCCACGCCGUAAACUAUGGAUACUAGCUGUAGGGGGUAUCGACCCCCUCUGUAGCGAAGCUAACGCGUUAAGUAUCCCGCCUGUGGAGUACGGCCGCAAGGCUAAAACAUAAAGGAAUUGACGGGGACCCGCACAAGCGGUGGAGCGUGUUCUUUAAUUCGAUGCUAAACGAAGAACCUUACCAGGGCUUGACAUCCCGAGAAUUACUGCGAAAGCAGUGAGUGCCUUAGGGAACUCGGUGACAGGUGCUGCAUGGCCGUCGUCAGCUCGUGUCGUGAGAUGUUUGGUUAAGUCCAUCAACGAGCGCAACCCUUAUAGUCUGUUGUAUUUUUCAGGCUAGACUGCCCCGGUAACGGGGAGGAAGGAGGGGAUGAUGUCAGGUCAGUAUUACCCUUACAUCUGGGGCUACAAACACGCUACAAUGGCCGGUACAAAGGGCUGCCAAGUCGCGAGACGGAGCAAAUCCCAUCAAAGCCGGUCUCAGUUCGGAUAGCAGGCUGAAACUCGCCUGCUUGAAGCCGGAAUCGCUAGUAACGGUAGGUCAGCUAUACUACCGUGAAUACGUUCCCGGGUCUUGUACACACCGCCCGUCAAACCAUGAAAGUCGGGGGUACCUGACGUGUGAGCAUCGCCUCGCCCUAAGGUAAACCAGAUGAUUGGGGUU
Molecule: ribosomal RNA, 887 nt
Filed under: uncultured Candidatus Saccharibacteria bacterium
Lineage: Bacteria; Candidatus Saccharimonadota
Description: bacterial SSU rRNA
Rfam family: Bacterial small subunit ribosomal RNA
Source: RNAcentral